UCCCUGGUGGUCUAGUGGUUAGGACUUGGUGCUUUCACCGCUGUGACCUGGGUUGAAUCCCUGGUCUGGGAA
RNAcentral lists this transfer RNA (72 nucleotides) under Sus scrofa (pig). It matches the Rfam family "tRNA". Rfam says of the family: Transfer RNA (tRNA) molecules are approximately 80 nucleotides in length. Their secondary structure includes four short double-helical elements and three loops (D, anti-codon, and T loops). The record is from Rfam by way of RNAcentral. Lineage: Eukaryota; Metazoa; Chordata; Mammalia; Artiodactyla; Suidae.